This 77-nucleotide transfer RNA is filed under the name Geobacter sp. RNAcentral describes it as "tRNA-Arg". It matches the Rfam family "tRNA". Rfam says of the family: Transfer RNA (tRNA) molecules are approximately 80 nucleotides in length. Their secondary structure includes four short double-helical elements and three loops (D, anti-codon, and T loops). RNAcentral also lists the same sequence under 5 other names. Lineage: Bacteria; Pseudomonadati; Thermodesulfobacteriota; Desulfuromonadia; Geobacterales; Geobacteraceae. The record is from RNAcentral.
GUCUCCUUAGCUCAGCUGGAUAGAGCAACGGCCUUCUAAGCCGUAGGUCGCAGGUUCGAAUCCUGCAGGGGACGCCA